Hemiscyllium ocellatum (epaulette shark) is the source of this 2003-nucleotide long non-coding RNA. RefSeq lists it as uncharacterized. The transcript is spliced from 4 exons. The record is from RefSeq and is a predicted model, not a curated record. NCBI's taxonomy places the organism in Eukaryota, Metazoa, Chordata, Chondrichthyes, Orectolobiformes, Hemiscylliidae.
GGACAAGAGGCGGCCGUUUGACCGAGUGCGGCCCGCGCCUCUCCCCCCCCCGGACACACGGAGGAAGCGGCCGCAAGCGCCCUCACGCUGCGGGCCUCCCGCCGCCUUUCACCUUUCGGUUCCGACAUCGGCAAUCUCUCUGUCUCUUCUCUCGAGCCUCCCGCCGCCGCCGCCUUCGUCUCCCUUCCCAAACUGCUCGUCCCCCAAAUACUUCCGGGCGGAGGGACGUGGACCCCGAGGAAAGGUUCCGCCCUAUGGGUUGGUGUGGUACAGUUGGAUGCUCUGCUGGGACCUGUCCCUGGUGGCUAUCUCCAUCCGGUCGAUAAGGAAGAGGACAGAGAUGAAGACUAUAAAGAAUACAACAGCUGCGUUAGAGAAAACAAUCAUAACGUCCAUGGAGGGGGGGGAGAAAGCCUAGUGGCACCAGAGCUCAGUUGCAGAGUGGGUAGACCCAGUGUGAACUCGAGGGCUGGGCAUCUUGGCAAUCUCUCUAUCACCGAGACGGUCCUACCACCGACUCAUGACGGUGGUGACAGAGGAGAGUUUGGGUUCCUGUCCCAUGCAUGCUCAUGGACACGGUGAUGGAGGGGUGUUUGGGCCCAGUACGGGACCCAUCGGCAGCGGCUUCACCGGCGAGGUGGGCCUGAACUGGAGUGAGCUUUGGGCCGGUGCAGUUCCUGGCAGCAUCAGUGGCAUCUGCAUCAGAGAAUUCCAACAGUGUGGGAGCAGGACAUUCAGCCCAACAAGUCCACAGCGACCCUCUAAAGAGCAUCCCACCCAGACUCACCCCUACACCCUAUCCCUGUAAUGGUGCACAUCUUUGGACUGUGGGAGGAAACCGGAGCACUCAGAGGAAGCCCACGCAGAUAUAGGGAGAAGGUGCAAACUCCACACAGACUGCAGUCCCAGUCCUGACGAAGGGUCCUGCCCGAAACAUCGACUCCUUCUGUUCUUCUGAUGCUGCCUGAGCCCCAGUGCUUUUUCCAGCUCCACAUUUUACUGACUCUGACUUUCCCUCACUGUCUCCAAGUAAUGUCACAUCCCUCCCAUACAGUGGUUUCUAAUAACUCCUACCUGUGGACUUGAGUCUCCUAGCUCAGAGGUAGGUCACUACCACUGCACCACAGGUGAUCCUGCACCCAUAACAGGUUUAGAUGUUUCUUGUCCACCAAUUCAAAGAUAAAUAAAUGUUCCACACCUCUGGAGCAGAAGGGCCCUUUUACCCCAUUGACUCUGUACAGCUCAUUAAAAAAAAUUCGGCCGACUUUAAUUCAUUCCAAUGUGAUCCUUUUAAUACUUAAGGGAAGCAGUACAGACAGGACGGCCCGCCUAUCCCUUGCUGUGAUUGGUCUGUCUGCUCGCACAGGCAUGGAUCCGAUUCGCUGCGGGGUCUUGUCAAUCAUCAUGCGUCACGCGUCAGCCCUCCUGGGCGGCACCAUCUUGUUUCCUCGAACCACCGCCCCGCGGGUUAAUUCGCUUCGGGCGCUUUAAAGAAACAUCCCGGAUCGCGGCUUUUAUUGACUUUAAACUGUUGGGUAGCGGUUUUCGUUUACUCGGUUUUCUAUGGAGCAAAAGAAGAGUAUCUGGCUAAUGAUGCUUUAGCAGGAAGAUUUAAAAGCUCCCUGCCUAACCUGCCAUCAGCAACUCUUGGAAGCUCAGAGAAUAAGAAUAGAAAAUUGAGUGACAGAUAUUAGUGGUUUUACCUGAGUGAGCGGUAAAAGUGACCCUGAUCAACCAAACAAAAAUCAACCAAGAAACCAUCAGCAAUACUUCCGGAAAAAUACAUCAUAAAAAACACUCAAGAAUCUAGCUGUCUGUCGUGGCCUUGAAUAUAUCAAAUGGCCCAGCCCGCUGGGGUUGUGACGGAGGCCAUCCAAAUGAAGAAUCCUUCACGAUCUCCGUCCUAUAUGACAGCCUAUAGUUUUAGAUUAUCACUUCAGGAGUGAAUUCCAGGCCUGAAGGCUGGGGCAGCUGAAGGCAGAGCCAUUAACGCCUCCUCAAAC